GACGAACGCUGGCGGCGUGCUUAACACAUGCAAGUCACGGGGGCCCGCAAGGGCAACCGGCGAACGGGUGCGUAACACGUGAGCAAGCUUCCGAUUUGUGGGGGAUAGUCGGCCUAACGGCCGGGUAAUACCGCAUACGUUCACCGGACGGCAUCGUCUGGUGAGGAAACCUCCGGGGCAAAUCGAGGCGCUCGCGGCCUAUCAGCUAGUUGGCGGGGUAACGGCCCACCAAAGCGACGACGGGUAGCUGGUCUGAGAGGAUGGCCAGCCACAUUGGGACUGCGACACGGCCCAGACUCCUACGGGAGGCAGCAGUGGGGAAUAUUGCGCAAUGGACGAAAGUCUGACGCAGCGACGCCGCGUGUGGGAUGACGCCUUUCGGGGUGUAAACCACUGUUGCCCGGGACGAAACUCCUUUUUCGAGAGGAUUGACGGUACCGGGUGAGGAAGCACCGGCUAACUCUGUGCCAGCAGCCGCGGUAAUACAGAGGGUGCGAGCGUUGUCCGGAAUCACCGGGCGUAAA
This 524-nucleotide ribosomal RNA is filed under the name uncultured bacterium. Its description in RNAcentral is "bacterial SSU rRNA". It matches the Rfam family "Bacterial small subunit ribosomal RNA", at positions 28 to 564 of the family's 1533-position model. The record is from RNAcentral.